AUCCAAGCCACUCAGCCAAUAGCUCAGAUAAAAAUUUGUGGACCUACACAAGUACAAUUCUGCCUUAGGAGCAAACAACUGAAGGUACUACAUGCAUUUGUAAAAAAAACAAUUGUUUGCAAAUUAAAAAAUCUUAGGACCACACAGACACAUUGUUCAGGAAGAAGGUAGAAAUGAUCUACAAAGGAUGAACGAACUUUGGUCCAGAAGAAUCAACUGAACCCCAAGACAACAACAGAGGAACUGGUGAAGGAGUUGGAGGCAUCAGGUACCACAGUAUGUGCAUCCACCAUUAAGAGAGAUCUACAUUGUCAUGGCCUGAAGACACCUCAAAACAUCAGCCAGACAUUUUAAACUUGGUUUCAAUGGAGUCUUCUAGCAGGACAAUGAUUCUAAGCAUACCUCCAAAAAUUGCUUAAAGACAACAAAAUGAAAGUAUUGGAGCAUUCAUCAGAAAGCCUAGAUGUGAAUACCAUUCAAAAUGUGUGGUCUGAACUGAAAAGGCAUGUCCAAGCAAGGCCCACAACCCUGACCCAGUUACACCAGUUUUAUCAGGAGGAAAUGAAAGUAUAGUGAGAAGCUUGUGGACGGCUUGCCCCAAGCAUAUGAUUCAAGACACCAUGCACCUGUGUCCUACUGCACCAAGAAAAGCUAUUCUCUUGAUCAGCACAGUGCAUAAAGAUGCAACUGUGAGUGACAGACAAGACAAAAAACAGGAUGGAUGAUCAGAACAAUGGCAAAAUGGACUUGAGGAGAAUUUCCUUGGAGCAGUUUGGUCAGGGAAGUCUCAAAUAGAGAGGAGAUAGCAUCUUCCCAGAUCACAUCUGGCACCAAGACAUUAGCAGCAGAUCCUUUUAAGUCCUGCAAAUUGUGAGGUGGGGCCUCCAUGAAUUAGACAUGUUUGUCUAGCAUGUCCCACAGAUGUUUGUUUGGACUGAGAUCUGGGGAAUUUUGAGGUCAACACCAUGAACUCUUUGUCGCACGUCAAACCAUUCCUGAGCAUUUUUGCAGUGUGGCAGGGUGCAUUAUCCUACUGAAAGUAGCCACUGUCAUUAGGGAAUACCGUAGCCAUGAAGGGGUAUACUUGGUCUGCAACAAUAUUUAGGCAGGUGGUAUGUUUCAAAGUAACAUCCACAUGAAUGCUAGGACCCAAGGUUUCAACACAACAUUUCCCAGAGUAUCACACUGCCUCUGCACUGUGUGUUCUGACACCUUUCUAUCAUAGCCAG
Molecule: long non-coding RNA, 1229 nt
Organism: Ictalurus punctatus (channel catfish)
Lineage: Eukaryota; Metazoa; Chordata; Actinopteri; Siluriformes; Ictaluridae
Source: Ensembl